This 403-nucleotide ribosomal RNA is filed under the name uncultured bacterium. Its description in RNAcentral is "partial 16S ribosomal RNA". It matches the Rfam family "Bacterial small subunit ribosomal RNA", at positions 30 to 526 of the family's 1533-position model. The record is from RNAcentral.
AUUGAACGCUGGCGGCAGGCCUAACACAUGCAAGUCGAGCGAGCGGCGGACGGGUGAGUAAUGUAUGGGGACUGCCCGAUAGAGGGGGCUAACUACUGGAAACGGUGGCUAAUACCGCCUACUCUCGGAUACCCCAUAUGGGAUUAGCUAGUAGGUGGGGUAAAGGCUCACCUAGGCGACGAUCUCUAGCUGGUCUGAGAGGAUGAUCAGCAACACUGGAACUGAGACACGGCCCAGACUCCUACGGAGGCAGCAGUGGGGAAUAUUGCACAAUGGGCGAAAGCCUGAUGCAGCCAGGCCGCGUGGAUGAAGAAGGCCUUAGGGUUGUAAAGUACGUUCAGCGGGGAGGCGUUACCCGCAGAAGAAGCACCGGCUAACUCCGUGCCAGCAGCCGCGGUAAUAC